RNAcentral lists this ribosomal RNA (737 nucleotides) under Streptomyces hainanensis. RNAcentral describes it as "bacterial SSU rRNA". It matches the Rfam family "Bacterial small subunit ribosomal RNA", at positions 32 to 784 of the family's 1533-position model. The record is from RNAcentral. Lineage: Bacteria; Bacillati; Actinomycetota; Actinomycetes; Kitasatosporales; Streptomycetaceae.
GGGGCGUGACGCGAUGCUAAACAUGCAAGUCCGAACGAUGAUCCGGUUUCGGCCGGUGAUUAGUGGCGAACGGGUGAGUAACACGUGGGUAAUCUGCCCUGCACUCUGGGAUAAGCCCGGGAAACUGGGUCUAAUACCGGAUAUGACCUUCGGUCGCAUGAUCGUUGGUGGAAAGCUUUUGCGGUGUGGGAUGGGCCCGCGGCCUAUCAGCUUGUUGGUGGGGUGAUGGCCUACCAAGGCGACGACGGGUAGCCGGCCUGAGAGGGUGACCGGCCACACUGGGACUGAGACACGGCCCAGACUCCUACGGGAGGCAGCAGUGGGGAAUAUUGCACAAUGGGCGCAAGCCUGAUGCAGCGACGCCGCGUGAGGGAUGACGGCCUUCGGGUUGUAAACCUCUUUCAGCAGGGAAGAAGCGCAAGUGACGGUACCUGCAGAAGAAGCACCGGCUAACUACGUGCCAGCAGCCGCGGUAAUACGUAGGGUGCAAGCGUUGUCCGGAAUUAUUGGGCGUAAAGAGCUCGUAGGCGGCUUGUCGCGUCGGUUGUGAAAGCCCGGGGCUUAACCCUGGGUCUGCAGUCGAUACGGGCAGGCUAGAGUUCGGUAGGGGAGACUGGAAUUCCUGGUGUAGCGGUGAAAUGCGCAGAUAUCAGGAGGAACACCGGUGGCGAAGGCGGGUCUCUGGGCCGAUACUGACGCUGAGGAGCGAAAGCGUGGGGAGGCAAACAGAGACGAUG